This 779-nucleotide ribosomal RNA is filed under the name uncultured Neocallimastigales. Its description in RNAcentral is "partial large subunit ribosomal RNA". It matches the Rfam family "Eukaryotic large subunit ribosomal RNA", at positions 23 to 644 of the family's 3401-position model. Lineage: Eukaryota; Fungi; Neocallimastigomycota; Neocallimastigomycetes; Neocallimastigales. The record is from RNAcentral.
AGAGAGAGACAUGCGCGCAUAUCAAUAAGCGGAGGAAAAGAAACUAACAAGGAUUCCCUUAGUAACGGCGAGUGAAGCGGGAAGAGCUCAAAUUUGAAAUCUUCAAGGGUUCUACCUUUACGAAUUGUAGUUUAUAAGAAGUGUUUUCUGUUAGGUGUAUUGGCUAAAAGUUCUUUGGAAUAGGACAUCAUAGAGGGUGAGAAUCCCGUAUUUGACCAUUACUUUCCAGCUGUGUGAUACACUUUCAAAGAGUCGGAUUGUUUGGGAAUGCAGUCCAAGAUGGGUGGUAAAUUUCAUCUAAAGCUAAAUAUUGGCGAGAGACCGAUAGCGAACAAGUACCGUGAGGGAAAGAUGAAAAGAACUUUGAAAAGAGAGUUAAACAGUACGUGAAAUUGUCAAAAGGGAAGCGUUUGACACCAGUGUUGUUUUUCCGAAAAUCAAUUACGAAUGUUUUGUUUUUGAGGAGUUAUGACUUCAUCGGCUUGCUCCUUUCUUUACGAAACUUUCUUAAUGCACUUUUCGGUUAACAAGUCAACAUCAAUUUCUUUUGUUGUAAAAGGGUAAGAGGAAGGUGGCUUGCGCUUCGGCUCAAGUGUUUAUAGCCUUUUAUCUCUGCAAUCGGAGAGAUUGAGCUCUGCAGCGUAGAUCCUUCGGGGUUAGAUACAUUGGUGCUAAGCUAUAGCCUUGUAUAGACAACUUGUUGACUAUGCUCAGUCAUGUAGCUUACUCGCUUAUGCUAUUUUACCUACGCUUAGGAUGUUGAUAGUCACAGCGUGUAC